GGGGCCGAUGUGGUUUCGACCGAACGAGUUUCAGGUUCGGUGUGGCGCGUCGAGGGGCGUGGUGGCCUCGUUAAAACCACGCAACACAAUUAUCUGCCAACGAGCAGUACCUCAUGGCUGCCUGAGAACCAGGCAGUCUGAACCCCGCUGGACGCCUGCUACGGCGGGGUUCAACGACAGCAGGCUGGCCGACUCCUGGUGCUCCCAGGGGUGAAGCGGCGAGAAUUUGACUGGGAGCUGGACCCGAAGCAGGCUGUCGAUGGCCGGCGCAGGGUCGAGAAUAAAUUAUCGACUACACGCGUAGAUGCACCGUUCCGGCCGUUUCGGCACGGGGGUUCGAUUCCCCCCGGCUCCAUUU
RNAcentral lists this transfer-messenger RNA (358 nucleotides) under Phycisphaerales. RNAcentral's name for it is "GCA-2732755 sp011053195 Standard tmRNA". It matches the Rfam family "transfer-messenger RNA". From Rfam's summary of the family: Bacterial tmRNA, also known as 10Sa RNA or SsrA, is named for its dual tRNA and mRNA-like properties. Its role is to liberate the mRNA from a stalled ribosome. To accomplish this part of the tmRNA is used as a reading frame that ends in a translation stop signal. The record is from RNAcentral. Lineage: Bacteria; Pseudomonadati; Planctomycetota; Phycisphaerae. RNAcentral also lists the same sequence under 1 other name.